GAUGAACGCUGGCGGCGUGCCUAACACAUGCAAGUCGAACGGACAGACGAUGAGCGCGCGCCCCUGACGUUGGCGACGGGCGGGUGAGUAACGCGUGAAUAACCCUCCACUUCGACGGGGGUAACGUCGGGAGGCCGUAGCUCAUAACAGAGAAUAUAUUGAACGGCAUGGUUCAAUAGUUAUUUUCGGUUUUGGUGUCACUCAUAGCCGAUUCCUCGCUUCAUUGGCUAGUUGGUAAGGUAACGGCUUACCAAGGCAACGAUGCGUAGCCGAGCUGAGAGGGUGAUCGGCCACACUGGAACUGGGACACGGUCCAGACUCCUACGGGAGGCAGCAGUAGGGAAUCUUGGGCAAUGGGCGGAAGCCUGACGGAGCGACGCCGCGUGGGUGAUGAAGGUCUUCGGGUCGUAAAACUCUGUUAUUGGGGAAGAACAAAUGUGUAAGUAACUAUGCAUGUUUUGACGGUACCUAAAGAAAAAGCACCGGCUAACUACGUG
Molecule: ribosomal RNA, 497 nt
Filed under: uncultured bacterium
Lineage: Bacteria
Description: partial 16S ribosomal RNA
Rfam family: Bacterial small subunit ribosomal RNA
Source: RNAcentral